RNAcentral lists this long non-coding RNA (7915 nucleotides) under Sus scrofa (pig). RNAcentral's name for it is "lncRNA (ENSSSCG00065053996.1)". Lineage: Eukaryota; Metazoa; Chordata; Mammalia; Artiodactyla; Suidae. The record is from RNAcentral.
UUUUUUUUUUUUUUAAUAAUUUUUUUUAUUUUUCCACUGUACAGCAAGGGGGUCAGGUUAUCCUUACAUGUAUACAUUGCAAUUACAGUUUUUCCCCCACCCUUUGUUCUGUUGCAACAUGAGUAUCUAGACAAAGUUCUCAAUGCUAUUCAGCAGGAUCUCCUUGUAAAUCUAUUCUAAAUUGUGUCUGAUAAGCCCAAGCUCCCAAUCCCUCCCACUCCCUCCCCCUCCCAUCAGGCAGCCACAAGUCUCUUCUCCAAGUCCAUGAUUUUCUUUUCUGAGGAGAUGUUCAUUUGUGCUGGAUAUUAGAUUCCAGUUAUAAGUGAUAUCAUAUGGUAUUUGUCUUUGUCUUUCUGGCUCAUUUCACUCAGGAUGAGAUUCUCUAGUUCCAUCCAUGUUGCUGCAAAUGGCAUGAUGUCAUUCUCUUUUAUGGCUGAGUAGUAUUCCAUUGUGUAUAUAUACCACAUCUUCCGAAUCCAAUCAUCUGUUGAUGGACAUUUGGGUUGUUUCCAUGUCCUGGCUAUUGUGAAUAGUGCUGCAAUGAACAUGAGGGUGCAUGUGUCUCUUUUAAGUAGAGUUUUGUCCGGAUAGAUGCCCAAGAGUGGGAUUGCGGGGUCAUAUGGAAGUUCUAUGGAUAGAUUUCUAAGGUAUGUCCAAACUGUUCUCCAUAGUGGCUGUACCAGUUUACAUUCCCACCAACAGUGCAGGAGGGUUCCCUUUUCUCCUCAGCCCUUCCAGCACUUGUUAUUUGUGGAUUUAUUAAUGAUGGCCAUUCUGACUGGUGUGAUAUCUCAUGGUAGUUUUGAUUUGCAUUUCUCUUAUAAUCAGCGAUGUUGAGCAUUUUUUCAUGUGUUUGUUGGCCAUCUGUAUAUCUUCUUUGGAGAAAUGUCUAUUCAGGUCUUUUGCCCAUUUUUCCCUUGAUUGAUUGGUUUUUUUGCUGUUGGGUUGUAUAAAUUGUUUAUAUAUUCUAGAGAUUAAGCCCUUGUCAGUUGCAUCAUUUGAAACUAUUUUCUCCCAUUCUGUAAGUUGUCUUUUUGUUUUCUUUUGGGUUUCCUUUGCUGUGCAAAAGCUUUUCAGUUUGAUGAGGUCCCAUGGGUUUAUUUUUGCUGUUAUUUCUAUUGCUUUGGGAGACUGACCUGAGAAAAUAUUCAUGAUGUUGAUGUCAGAGAGUGUUUUGCCUAUGUUUUAGAAGUUUGUACCUUUUAUUCUCCCUCACCUAUUUCUCUUCUCCCACUCUCUCCCCUCUGGCAACCAUUUGUUCUCUGUAUUUAUGUUUUGUAUUGUUAUGUCUGUUCAAUUGUUUUCUUUUUUAAAUUUCACUUAACAUAAUACCUUCUAGGUCAAGAUUUCACUCUUUUUUUAUGGCUAAUAUUUCAUUGUGCAUAUAUACAAAAUCUUCUUUAUCCAUUCAUCCAUUGUAGGGUCCACAGUGUCCUAAACCUAGUGUUGGCCAGCUGGUGAGGGGGCUAGAUCCCAGGGCAGCCAACUGAAGGGCCCAUAGUGUCACAGAGCUGGUUUUGUCCUGCUGGUUGUCAGGGCCAGGUCCCAGGGUUCCUCUGGCUAGUGCCAAUCUAUUGCUGGGCAGAGUUGCUAGGGCUUUUGACAGCAGGGCCCUGGGGAGUCUUAGAGGUGAUGUUAGCCUCUCUGGUGGACAGGGCUGGUGUCCAGGGGGCCCUGGGUUAAUGCCAGCUUCUUGAUGGAUGUGGUUGGUCUUGAUACUGGUAGGGUAUGAAGCUGUAGUGGUCCUGGAGGUGUCUGUCCACUGGUGGGCAAGACUAGGGUCCAGGGUAUCCUGGGGUUGGUGCCCAUUUAUUGAUGUGUGGAGCCAGUGCCCAGGGUGUCUUGGGGCUAAUGUUAGUCUGCUGGUGGGAAGAUCCGGGUCCUGGUGUCUCUGUUUGUAGGGCCCUGGGGUUCCAGAGUUGGUAUCUUCCCAAUGGUCGGUGGAUCAGGUCUCAGUGGCUAGCUGUAGGCCCUCAGGGAUCCCUUAGUAGUGCUAGUGCACUGGUGGGGUCCUGUGUCCAAGGAUGGCUGGAUGCUCAGGGAGUCUUAAGGCAGUUGAUAAUGUGGGUAGAUCUGUGUUCUCUUCUGGCUAGCUAUUUGACCUAAAGCAUCCCAGUGCUGAUGCCAACAGGCUGGUGGGCAGGGCCAGUCUUAUGCUUAAAAAGCUAGAGGGGUGAUUAAAAAUGGCAUUUUCCAGCACAGUGUCCUCAUGAUAGAAUAAGCUCUUCAUAAUGGCUGCUGCUAGCAUCUCUGUCCUCAGAGUGAGCUCCAGUUGACUCCUACCUCUCCCAGAGCCUCUCUAAGAUCAGCUGGAGGGUCUGAUCCAGGCUUCUUUGAAAUUAUUGCUUCUUCCCUGGGUCUUAGAGCAUGUGAGACUUUGGGUGUGCCUUUUAAGAGUGGAGUCUCAAUUUUCUACCAUUUGCUUCUGAAAGUAAGUCCUUCUGAUCCUCCAAGCCAAACAUUCUGGGGGCUCAUCCUUCCAGUGCAAGACCCUGGGGCUGGGAAGUUCAAUACGGGGCUUGGAUACCUCACUCCUUGGGAAGAAUCUUUGCAGUAAUAAUUAUCCCCCUAUUUGUGGUUGAUCCCCUUCCUCCGACGGGUAUCAGUCUUGACUAUACAGCAUCUCUGCCCCUCCUACCCAUCCCAUUGUGGCUUCUUUAUAUCUUUUGUUGUAGGUCUUUUCUGCUAGUCUUCAAGUCUUUGUCAUCAGUAGUUCUGUAAAUAGUGGUAGUUUUGGUGUGCCUGUGAAAGGAAGUGAGCUCAGGGUUUGCCUUCACUAUUUUGGCUACUCCUUCCACUGACAUUUUUCUUUCUAAAUUAUAUGCAGAGAGAUGUCCAAAAGAUGUUCAUUAAAUGUUAAACUUGUUUUUUGAUGAUUUUUAAGUAAUUUAUUGCUUUUUAAAAUGUGUUCUUUUCUAUACUACUUAGUUUUAAGAAGUUAGCCUUAUUGUUAUUUUUUUAAGAAGAGUGAUUAUUCUUUAAAAAAGUGCCUUCUUCUAAGGAAAAGUAUGAACUAGAAAAAGAUCAAGCUCAGAAAUAAAAGGGGUAGGAGGUUGGGAAACAUCUAUCCUUUUUGGUGCUUGUCAUCAUUUUGAUCAUUUUGAUGGUAUCAAUCCCAGAAAUGUAAAAUGUAAAACAUUGUAGACUUAUGGAACUAUCAAACAAUCAUAACAUUGAAGUAUUUUCCAAAGCUGAACAUAAAUUUUUCUGUUUUUCAUGGUAAUAUAUAGUGUUUUCUGAGUGUAUGUGUUGAAUGAAUUUGUCCCUUAAUAUGUCUUUAUUUAGCUCUUAGAAUUAUCUGGUUUUAUUAAUUUAUUUCAACAUUAUUACUGAGUGCUGCAUCAGUUUAUAUCUUCAUAUGGGUAGACACUGAAAUUGUGAUUUGAGUAAAGGGUCCCUGUUUGUGCUGUGAUACAAGGAGGGCGGGGGGAUAGAGGAUCAAAAAACAAAGAGAGCAAAUGGGAAAUAUAUAAUUAAAUGGGAGAUCUAAGUACCCAUAUCAGUAAUUACAUUAGAUGUUAAUGGACUGAACUUCAAUGAAAAGGCAGAGAGUAUCAGAAUGGAUAAAAUAUUCAAUUUGACAUCAGCAGGAGAUUUUCUUAAAGACAUAGGCUGCUAGAGUUCCUGUCAUGGCUCAGCAGAAAUGCAUCCAACUAGUAUCCAUGAUGCAGGUUCAAGCCCUGGCCUCGCUCAGUGGGUCAGGGAUCUGGCAUUGCCAUGAGCUGUGGUGCAGGUCACAGAUGCGGCUCGGAUUCUGCGUGGCUGUGGCUGUGGCAUAGGCUGGAGGCUGUAGCUUCUAUAUGGCCCCUAGCCUGAGAAUUUCCAUAUGCUGCAGGUAUGGCCCCUUUUAAAAAGCAAAAAAACAAAACAAAAACAAACAAACAAACAAAAACCCCAAUAAACCAAAGGCACAGGCUGAAGGGAUGCUGUUAAAAUCAGAUAAAAUAGAAUGCAAAACAGACUGUUGUAGGCAAUAAAGAGGGGACAUUUCAUAAUGCUGAGUGAAUUCAUCAGGAAGCCAUAGCAAUCAUAAAUGUAUAUAACCAAUAACAGGUUAAAAAUAUAUAAAGCAAAAAAAUAAUAAAAUUAGGGAAGAGUUAUAAUUAGAAAUUUUUAUCACACUACUCUCAGCAAUUGCUAGACUAUCUAGAUGAAAAAAUCAGUAGAGACAUAGAUGAUCUGAUGAAUAUAAUUAGUUAUAUGGAUAUAAGUGAUAAUUAUGGAAACUGCACCCUUAAGUUUUAAAAGACACAUUAUCAACUGUACAUCGUAUGUUCACUAACAUAGGCGAUAUUGUAGGCCAUGAAAUAUGUCUUGAUACAUUUAAUGGUUGAAAUUAAUGUAUGUUUUUUUGGCCACAAGAAAAUUAAAAUAGAAAUUAAUCAAAAUCAGUUACCUAGAGAUACUCCAAAUAUUUGGAAACUAGACAACACGAUUUAAAUAAUCCUGGAGUCACAGGGAAAAAUCUCAGGGGAAUCAUAAAAUAUUUUGAAGUGAAUUGUGUUGAUAAUACACAUCAAAAUUCAUGUGACACAGCUAAAGUAGUACUUAGAGUUAAAAUUAUAAUUCUUUUAUUAUUUAUGCUCUUAUUAAAUAGUUUCAUCAUUAAGAAAGAAAAUUCUAAAUAUUAAUAACCUGAACUCCACCUUAGGAAGCUUGAAAAAGAACAAAAUAAAUUCACAAUAAGUAAAUGUAAGGAAAUAAUAAAGAGUAGAAAUGAGUGAUGUAGAAAAUAGGCAGAUAAUAGAGAAACUUAAAGCCACAGUAUUGUUCUUUGGGAAGAUCUAGAACAAUGAUAAACUCCUAGCUUUAGUGAUCAACACAAUGACAAUGUGUUAUAAUAGUAGAAGAUUUUUGGCAUAUCUGUGGCAUACAGAAGUUCCUGGGCCAGGAAUUGAAGCUGCCACUGCAAUGACAGUGCCUCAUACUUAACCCAUUGAGCCAAAUGGGAACUCCAGAGAAGGGCUCGUUAUGAAUGGAGUUUUCAGAGGUAAUUCCAAAGAGAUGGUCGCAGUUGUAUGUGGCUUUCAAGAAUUACAGCAUCCUUGGAUGUCUGUGGGAGAUUGGUUCCAGGACCCACUGCACAUACCAAAAUCCAUAGAUACUCAAGUCCCAUAGUUGUUCCUCCAUAUCUGCAGUUCUGUAUCCAUGGAUUCGGCAACCACGGAUCAUGUAGAACUACAUGUAUUUAUUGAAAAAAAUCCAUAUGUUAGUGGACCCACCCAGUUCAAACCUGUGUUGGUCAAGGGUCACCUAUAGUAUUUUUUUCUCAUAUACGUUGGGGAAAAAGGUAUUCUAAGUAGAGGAAAAGUAAGAGCAAGGGUGUGGGUUUUUUUUUUUUUUUUUUGACAAGUUCAUAGCAUAUUAAGAAUGACAUAUUUUUUGUAUCUAUAACAUAAGGAUUGUGUGAAGGUGAAGAGCAAUAGGUGAUGAGAAAGAAAAGUAGUUUGAGACUAGAAUGUAUACAACCUAGAAUAUCUUUCUUGGUAAUUUGUACUUUAUUCUCUUGAAAAUAGCAGGCCAUCUAAAGUUUUUAAAAGCAAUAUUUCAAACAGAAGAUAUUGGGAAUGAAAAAUUGAGUGUUUAUUACCACUACCCCACUCUAACAAAUAAACCUUUACCAUAUGUAUUCAGAUUUUUAAAAAACUUUAAACAGUAUAGUCAAAGCCGUCUUUAUACCUCUUCAUCACAUGCCACAAGUAAGUCCUAUUCUGAAGUUAUAUAUCCUUACCGUGAAUUUUUUUUAUACUUUUACUGCUUAGUUAUAUAUUAAUGAUUGUUUUUCUAUGCUAUUAAACUUUGUAAAAAUUCUAUUUUAUUUAUUCCACAAAUUGUUUUUUUUCACUCGUUACUUUUGAGAUAAAGGAUAUUUAGCAACUAUGGAAUGGUGUAGCCAUAGGAGUUAUUUACAAUAUCUUUUCUGGUUGGUGCCAUAGUAAUUGUUAAAUAUUUUUUUUUUUUGUCUUUUUUGUCUUUUGUUGUUGUUGUUGUUGCUAUUUCUUGGGCCACUCCCGCGGCAUAUGGAGGUUCCCAGGCUAGGGGUUGAAUCGGAGCUGUAGCCACCGGCCUACGCCAGAGCCACAGCAACGUGGGAUCCGAGCCGCGUCUGCAACCUACACCACAGCUCACGGCAACGCCGGAUCAUUAACCCACUGAGCAAGGGCAGGGACUGAACCCGCAACCUCAUGGUUCCUAGUCGGAUUUGUUAACCACUGCGCCACGACGGGAACUCCGAAUUGUUAAAUAUUUUUAAUAGCUUGCCCUUGGAUUAAUCUGUACUGAUAAAUACAUUAAUCUACCCAAUUCAUUUCAAAUAUUGUAUUGUACUUGGUAAAAACAAAAUGGAUCUGUUAUCCUAUUGAUGGACAUUUAGGUCAUUUCCAGUUAUUUACUGUUAAAUGCAAUGCUGCAGUAAAAUCCUCAGAGGAAUUCUUGUGCAUACAUGAGAAUUUCCUUAGUGUUUUUAUUAAAGUGAAAUUAUGUUGUAUGUAAAGUGAAAUAUGUGUUACUCUCCAGAGUAAUUGUCCCAAUUUACAGUCUCACCAAAGAGUAUGAGAAUAUUGGUUUCUCAAUAACAUUUUCUUUCCUCUCUAUAUCUCUUUCUCCCCAGGUUAGCUUUUCAGCAUUUUGUUAUCAUUUGUUUAAAAAAUUUGCCCAUAUGAUAGAUAUGAAAUUAUAUCUUGUGAUUUAAUUUACCUUUCACUAAUUAUUAGUACUGUUGAAGAUCUUUUCAUAGGCUUAUAAAUGAUUCUGGUUUCCUUUCCUGAAGUUUCUGUACACAUUAUUUACUCUUAUCUACUGGGUUAUUUUGUCUUUUAAUUUUUUUAAUUGAUUUAUGAUAGUAUUUUUGAAAAUAAUCUGUAUUCCAGUUUAUGAUAGUUUUAAAAAAAAAUGUUUUGGAUAUCAUUCUUUAAAAAUUUUUUUCUCUUGAAAAUAAUUUUAAACUUAAAAACUAACCGGAGUUCCCGUCAUGGCUCAGUGGUUAACGAAUCCAACUAGGAACCAUGAGGUUGCGGGUUCAAUCCCUGGCCUUGCUCAGUGGGUUAAGGAUCUGGUGUUGCCAUGAGCUGUGGUGUAGGUCACAGACGUGGCUCGGAUCUGGUGUUGCUGUGGCUCUGGUGUAGGCUGGUGGCUAUGGCUCUGAUUAGACCCCCAGCCUGGGAACCUCCAUAUGCUGCGGGUGCGGCCCUAGAAAAGACAAAAUAAAUAAAUAAAUAAACUAAAAAACUUACCAAAAAGUAAUAUAAGGAACACAUGUAUUCUCUUAUCAAGAUUUGUCAGUUGUGGAGUUCCCAUUGUGGCUCAGCGGAAACAAAUCUGACUAGUAUCCAUGAGGAUGCAGGUUCGAUCCCUGGCCUCGCUCAGUGGGUUAAGAAUCUGCCAUUGUCAUGAGGUGUGGUGUAGGUCACAGAUGCGGCUCUAAUCUGAUGUUGCUGUGGAUGUGGCGUGGGCCAGCAGCUAUAGCUCUGAUUAGACCGCUAGUCUGGGAACUUUCAUAUACCGAAGGUGUGGCCCUAAAAAGACCAAAAAACAAACAAAAAAGCCUUGUUUCUUAGGUGCUUGUGAUAUGUCCCCAACAUUUAUUUGAACAUUUCCUUACUUUUGUUAUCAUUAAGACUCAUCUUAUACUUAUCCCACCUCACCUCAAAAUUAUCCUAUUUUGGAGUUCCCAUCAUGGCUCAGUGGAAACUAAUCUGAGUAGCAUCCUUGAGGAUGCCAGUUCGAUCCCUGGCCUCACUCAGUCGGUUAAGGAUCUGGCAUUGCUGUGAGUUGUGGUGUAGGUCACCGACGCGGCUCAUAUUUGACAUUGUGGUUGUGGCUUAGCUUAGGCCAGAAGCUAUAGCUCUAAUUAGACCCCUAGCCUGGGAACCUCCAUAUGCCGCCAGUUUGGCCCUAAAAAGACAAAAAAAAAAAA